This 503-nucleotide ribosomal RNA is filed under the name Candida albicans. RNAcentral's name for it is "eukaryotic LSU rRNA". The stretch from base 165 to 318 matches the Rfam family "5.8S ribosomal RNA". Lineage: Eukaryota; Fungi; Ascomycota; Pichiomycetes; Serinales; Debaryomycetaceae. The record is from RNAcentral.
GGUGAACCUGCGGAAGGAUCAUUACUGAUUUGCUUAAUUGCACCACAUGUGUUUUUCUUUGAAACAAACUUGCUUUGGCGGUGGGCCCAGCCUGCCGCCAGAGGUCUAAACUUACAACCAAUUUUUUAUCAACUUGUCACACCAGAUUAUUACUUAAUAGUCAAAACUUUCAACAACGGAUCUCUUGGUUCUCGCAUCGAUGAAGAACGCAGCGAAAUGCGAUACGUAAUAUGAAUUGCAGAUAUUCGUGAAUCAUCGAAUCUUUGAACGCACAUUGCGCCCUCUGGUAUUCCGGAGGGCAUGCCUGUUUGAGCGUCGUUUCUCCCUCAAACCGCUGGGUUUGGUGUUGAGCAAUACGACUUGGGUUUGCUUGAAAGACGGUAGUGGUAAGGCGGGAUCGCUUUGACAAUGGCUUAGGUCUAACCAAAAACAUUGCUUGCGGCGGUAACGUCCACCACGUAUAUCUUCAAACUUUGACCUCAAAUCAGGUAGGACUACCCGCU